This 77-nucleotide transfer RNA is filed under the name Micavibrio aeruginosavorus. Its description in RNAcentral is "tRNA-Arg". It matches the Rfam family "tRNA". From Rfam's summary of the family: Transfer RNA (tRNA) molecules are approximately 80 nucleotides in length. Their secondary structure includes four short double-helical elements and three loops (D, anti-codon, and T loops). The record is from RNAcentral. Lineage: Bacteria; Pseudomonadati; Bdellovibrionota; Bdellovibrionia; Bdellovibrionales; Pseudobdellovibrionaceae. RNAcentral also lists the same sequence under 2 other names.
GCGCCCGUAGCUCAACCGGAUAGAGCACCUGCCUUCUAAGCAGGGGGUUGCAGGUUCGACUCCUGCCGGGCGCGCCA